UGAUAGUACUGUAAACUGCAAUGUAAUGCAUUAUAUGACGUGAUAUGAUAAUAUAGCACGCUGAGUGAUUAAUUGAAACAUGUUAUGCUAUUGUGACAUAUUAUUACGUCAUAUUGUAUAUCAACAAUAAUAAUUCUAGGGAACUAAGAGGGACCAGCCAAAAACCUGCCAACUCCUCUUGGGCUGGACCCCGAAGCCCACCCUCACUACAGCAACAUCCAAAAAUUCACCCAGGUAAACACAGUUCACCCUAACUAAACCCUAUACUCUCCUUUCACCGUUUCACCGCAGUAGAAGCCCAAAACCAUCCACGGCCGCGCCAGUUCAUCGUGCAAUCUUCUCCUCCGCCUUCAUCGGACGCUGCGCCCCCGUCCACCACGUGCGGGCAACAGCCGGCCUCCGUAGACUGCUUCAGAACGCCACAACGCUCCCAUCUCCUUGACGUGCUUCUUAACGCGUUAAUCAGAGCUUCCCCAAUUUCGGCCGCGGCAACAUCGUUCCACCCAGGUGCGAGGAACAAGAUGGUUCUCCUUCUCACCAAGGGUGCGCCGCUGCUGCUGCAUGUCGGUGUUGGCAGCGCCAUUGAAGCUUCCCUGUUCUGCUCCGCCAAAUGCAAUAGGACGUCCACUGCUCCAAUCUCGAAACCUCCCUUCACAUAACUAAUUGGAUUUGGGGUUGUUUCUUGUCAACAAGCACCAGGAUUGUGUUGCCGAAAAGUCAAUUAAGAUGGAAAAAAAGGUAUAUGAACUGCUAUUGCUGAAAUUGUGAAGUUGUUGGUGACUUUAUCCAAACUUUUAGGUGGAUGAUGCUUCUGAUAGGCAUUAUGAUGUUUCUUUGCACUGGGAAUUGGAUGGUUCUGGAUAUGUGUUCCGAGUUAUCACGUGUUAAUAUAUAAUAGACAUAGAUGGCUAUUAAUCUAUUGCAUAAACGUUGACCAUAAAUGCUUUGUUUUGCUUUCACUUUGUAGGGGCAUCCUGAAGAGCCGAGCACAAUAUACAAAAAUCUACAUCAGAUGUUUCUCUUGUUAAACAAAUGGAUGUUUCUUUUUAUACUAAAUGGAUUAUUCUUUGAAAUGAAUCAUCAUUUUAGGUGAAAAUUAACUUUGAA
Arachis ipaensis is the source of this 1107-nucleotide non-coding RNA. NCBI's taxonomy places the organism in Eukaryota, Viridiplantae, Streptophyta, Magnoliopsida, Fabales, Fabaceae. The record is from RefSeq and is a predicted model, not a curated record.